GUGAGGAAUAUUGCGCAAUGGAGGCAACUCUGACGCAGCCAUGCCGCGUGCAGGAAGAAGGCGCUACGCGUUGUAAACUGCUUUUAACCGGGAAGAAACCCCAGGACGUGUCCUGGGUUGACGGUACCGGAGGAAUAAGCACCGGCUAACUUCGUGCCAGCAGCCGCGGUAAUACGAAGGGUGCAAGCGUUAUCCGGAUUCAUUGGGUUUAAAGGGUGCGUAGGCGGAGCGUUAAGUCAGUGGUGAAAUCCUGCAGCUUAACUGUAGACUUGCCAUUGAUAUUGGCGCUCUUGAGUGCGCUUGAAGUGGGCGGAAUGUGCCGUGUAGCGGUGAAAUGCUUAGAUAUGGCACAGAACACCAAUUGCGAAGGCAGCUCACUAAGGCGAUACUGACGCUGAGGCACGAAAGCGUGGGGAUCGAACAGGAUUAGAUACCCUUGUAGUCC
Molecule: ribosomal RNA, 445 nt
Filed under: uncultured bacterium
Lineage: Bacteria
Description: partial 16S ribosomal RNA
Rfam family: Bacterial small subunit ribosomal RNA
Source: RNAcentral